Molecule: ribosomal RNA, 1532 nt
Filed under: Salmonella enterica subsp. enterica serovar Cotham
Lineage: Bacteria; Pseudomonadati; Pseudomonadota; Gammaproteobacteria; Enterobacterales; Enterobacteriaceae
Description: partial 23S ribosomal RNA
Rfam family: Bacterial large subunit ribosomal RNA
Source: RNAcentral
GUAUAGGGGAGCCGCAGGGAAACCGAGUCUUAACCGGGCGUUAAGUUGCAGGGUAUAGACCCGAAACCCGGUGAUCUAGCCAUGGGCAGGUUGAAGGUUGGGUAACACUAACUGGAGGACCGAACCGACUAAUGUUGAAAAAUUAGCGGAUGACCUGUGGCUGGGGGUGAAAGGCCAAUCAAACCGGGAGAUAGCUGGUUCUCCCCGAAAGCUAUUUAGGUAGCGCCUCGUGAACUCAUCUCCGGGGGUAGAGCACUGUUUCGGCUAGGGGGCCAUCCCGGCUUACCAACCCGAUGCAAACUGCGAAUACCGGAGAAUGUUAUCACGGGAGACACACGGCGGGUGCUAACGUCCGUCGUGAAGAGGGAAACAACCCAGACCGCCAGCUAAGGUCCCAAAGUCAUGGUUAAGUGGGAAACGAUGUGGGAAGGCCCAGACAGCCAGGAUGUUGGCUUAGAAGCAGCCAUCAUUUAAAGAAAGCGUAAUAGCUCACUGGUCGAGUCGGCCUGCGCGGAAGAUGUAACGGGGCUAAACCAUGCACCGAAGCUGCGGCAGCGACGCUGAUGCGUUGUUGGGUAGGGGAGCGUUCUGUAAGCCUGUGAAGGUGGCCUGUGAGGGUUGCUGGAGGUAUCAGAAGUGCGAAUGCUGACAUAAGUAACGAUAAAGCGGGUGAAAAGCCCGCUCGCCGGAAGACCAAGGGUUCCUGUCCAACGUUAAUCGGGGCAGGGUGAGUCGACCCCUAAGGCGAGGCCGAAAGGCGUAGUCGAUGGGAAACGGGUUAAUAUUCCCGUACUUGGUGUUACUGCGAAGGGGGGACGGAGAAGGCUAUGUUGGCCGGGCGACGGUUGUCCCGGUUUAAGCGUGUAGGUGUGUGUUCCAGGUAAAUCCGGUUCACUUUAACACUGAGGCGUGAUGACGAGGCACUACGGUGCUGAAGCAACAAAUGCCCUGCUUCCAGGAAAAGCCUCUAAGCAUCAGGUAACAUCAAAUCGUACCCCAAACCGACACAGGUGGUCAGGUAGAGAAUACCAAGGCGCUUGAGAGAACUCGGGUGAAGGAACUAGGCAAAAUGGUGCCGUAACUUCGGGAGAAGGCACGCUGACACGUAGGUGAAGUGAUUUACUCAUGGAGCUGAAGUCAGUCGAAGAUACCAGCUGGCUGCAACUGUUUAUUAAAAACACAGCACUGUGCAAACACGAAAGUGGACGUAUACGGUGUGACGCCUGCCCGGUGCCGGAAGGUUAAUUGAUGGGGUCAGCGCAAGCGAAGCUCCUGAUCGAAGCCCCGGUAAACGGCGGCCGUAACUAUAACGGUCCUAAGGUAGCGAAAUUCCUUGUCGGGUAAGUUCCGACCUGCACGAAUGGCGUAAUGAUGGCCAGGCUGUCUCCACCCGAGACUCAGUGAAAUUGAACUCGCUGUGAAGAUGCAGUGUACCCGCGGCAAGACGGAAAGACCCCGUGAACCUUUACUAUAGCUUGACACUGAACAUUGAGCCUUGAUGUGUAGGAUAGGUGGGAGGCUUUGAAGUGUGG